Molecule: ribosomal RNA, 433 nt
Filed under: uncultured bacterium
Lineage: Bacteria
Description: partial 16S ribosomal RNA
Rfam family: Bacterial small subunit ribosomal RNA
Source: RNAcentral
AACGAACGCUGGCGGCAUGCCUAACACAUGCAAGUCGAACGAAACCUUCGGGUCUUGUGGCGCAGCGGGGCGUACCGCGGGGGAACCUACCCGUAGGUUCGCAAUACCUCCCCGAGAGGGAUGCUCAGGCCGCUGAGUGUCUUACGAGCUAAGAUGUAUCGCCGUUGGAUGGGGGCUCGUAGGAUUAGCUAGUUGGUAGGGUAAAAGCCUACCAUGGCGACGAUGCAUAGCUGGUGGGAGAGGAAGACCAGCCACAAUGGGAAUGCGACACGGACCAGACUCCUACGGGAGGGAGCAGAGGGGAAUACUGGACAAGGGACGAAAGCGUGAUACAGCAACGCGGGGGGAGUGAUGAAGGCCGUAGGGUUGUAAAGCUCCUUUAGACGGGACGAUAAUGACAGUAACGGGAGAAUAAGCACCGGCUAACUCCGUG